GGGGAAUAUUGCACAAUGGGCGAAAGCCUGAUGCAGCGACGCCGCGUGAGGGAUGACGGCCUUCGGGUUGUAAACCUCUUUCGCUCAUGGUCAAGCCGCAACAGUGGUUGUGGUGAGGGUAGUGGGUAAAGAAGCGCCGGCUAACUACGUGCCAGCAGCCGCGGUAAUACGUAGGGCGCGAGCGUUGUCCGGAAUUAUUGGGCGUAAAGGGCUUGUAGGCGGUUGGUCGCGUCUGCCGUGAAAUCCUCUGGCUUAACUGGGGGCGUGCGGUGGGUACGGGCUGACUUGAGUGCGGUAGGGGAGACUGGAACUCCUGGUGUAGCGGUGGAAUGCGCAGAUAUCAGGAAGAACACCGGUGGCGAAGGCGGGUCUCUGGGCCGUUACUGACGCUGAGGAGCGAAAGCGUGGGGAGCGAACAGGAUUAGAUACCCUGGUAGUCCACGCUGUAAACGUUGGGCACUAGGUGUGGGGGCCACCCGUGGUUUCUGCGCCGUAGCUAACGCUUUAAGUGCCCCGCCUGGGGAGUACGGCCGCAAGGCUA
RNAcentral lists this ribosomal RNA (541 nucleotides) under uncultured bacterium. RNAcentral describes it as "bacterial SSU rRNA". It matches the Rfam family "Bacterial small subunit ribosomal RNA", at positions 356 to 896 of the family's 1533-position model. The record is from RNAcentral.